Molecule: ribosomal RNA, 465 nt
Filed under: uncultured Pseudomonas sp.
Lineage: Bacteria; Pseudomonadati; Pseudomonadota; Gammaproteobacteria; Pseudomonadales; Pseudomonadaceae
Description: bacterial SSU rRNA
Rfam family: Bacterial small subunit ribosomal RNA
Source: RNAcentral
CCUACGGGGGGCUGCAGUGGGGAAUAUUGGACAAUGGGCGAAAGCCUGAUCCAGCCAUGCCGCGUGUGUGAAGAAGGUCUUCGGAUUGUAAAGCACUUUAAGUUGGGAGGAAGGGCAGUUACCUAAUACGUGAUUGUUUUGACGUUACCGACAGAAUAAGCACCGGCUAACUCUGUGCCAGCAGCCGCGGUAAUACAGAGGGUGCAAGCGUUAAUCGGAAUUACUGGGCGUAAAGCGCGCGUAGGUGGUUAGUUAAGUUGGAUGUGAAAUCCCCGGGCUCAACCUGGGAACUGCAUUCAAAACUGACUGACUAGAGUAUGGUAGAGGGUGGUGGAAUUUCCUGUGUAGCGGUGAAAUGCGUAGAUAUAGGAAGGAACACCAGUGGCGAAGGCGACCACCUGGACUGAUACUGACACUGAGGUGCGAAAGCGUGGGGAGCAAACAGGAUUAGAUACCCCAGUAGUC